UGACAUGUAUAGAGCAAUUGAUAACUGC
This 28-nucleotide small RNA is filed under the name Bombyx mori (domestic silkworm). RNAcentral describes it as "piRNA piR-bmo-1810083". Lineage: Eukaryota; Metazoa; Arthropoda; Insecta; Lepidoptera; Bombycidae. The record is from RNAcentral.